This 253-nucleotide ribosomal RNA is filed under the name uncultured bacterium. RNAcentral describes it as "partial 16S ribosomal RNA". It matches the Rfam family "Bacterial small subunit ribosomal RNA", at positions 524 to 776 of the family's 1533-position model. The record is from RNAcentral.
UACAGAGGUCCCAAGCGUUGUUCGGAAUCACUGGGCGUAAAGGGUGCGUAGGCGGGUCUUUAAGUCAGGGGUGAAAUCCUGGAGCUCAACUCCAGAACUGCCUUUGAUACUGAAGAUCUUGAGUUCGGGAGAGGUGAGUGGAACUGCGAGUGUAGAGGUGAAAUUCGUAGAUAUUCGCAAGAACACCAGUGGCGAAGGCGGCUCACUGGCCCGAUACUGACGCUGAUGCACGAAAGCGUGGGGAGCAAACAGG